Molecule: non-coding RNA, 1472 nt
Organism: Podarcis lilfordi (Lilford's wall lizard)
Lineage: Eukaryota; Metazoa; Chordata; Lepidosauria; Squamata; Lacertidae
Source: the annotation of a GenBank genome assembly
CCAUGAUAAAACAUCAGUCAUGAAUUUAUCGGAACUGUUUCUUCCUUCAAUUUUCAGGCAUAAAUCCUUUGGUAAGGAAGGGAUCAUAUUCCCCUUUCCUUCUAGGGCUCAAAUAUACAAAUAUGAUUGACUGGGAAGAAACCCUGCCUGUUUAAACACUGCACUAUAUUCCGGCAUUUGUUAUUGCAAUGUGUUUGACGGGGCAAGUCUUCUCUCUGGUCAGGUGCAAGUUCGUUUAACUGUCACUGUUUGACGGACAGCUGAGGAGGGGCUGGAGCGAUGUGUAUUCUGAUUGGCGGUUGCUGGUUUAGAAUUCUUAGACGCUGUGAUUGGCUGGGUUCGCCCAAGGAAGUAUAAAUAUAGCCAGGUGCUAUUCAGCAGAGUUAGUUGGAGCCGUUGGUGCUCCUGGAGUCAGACAGAAGAAGGCAGAGGAAGAGGAUGGGGAUGGGGAAAGAAGAUCCAGAAGGAAGGGCAGAGGGGCUUGGUGGCCAAAGGCUUCUUGGGCUAGCCAUAUAACUUGGCUCAGCCUAAGGAGUCUACAGCACUGAAGGAGAAGAAAGGAGAGGCGGUUUGCAAUGCUGGGCUCUGGUGCCUGGUAGGGGAGCCAGAGGAAGAUUCCAGGACAGCAAGAACAGGCCUGGGGUUUCAUUUGUGGGAAUUAAAAUCUAGUCCCCAUUUACAGAGUUAUGCCAAAGAGAGCCUGGGUCUUUUGACCCUUUAAUUAGUUCCCUUUUCCCUCCUAUAAAAAGUAUGCAAGACCACCUCUGUUUAGAGUUUAAAUAACAAAUAACUUGUACUCAGUUCAGACCCUCCAAGUGUCCUAGAUUUACAGAAGCCGUCCCAGUUUCUGAUUUGAUCCUGGCAUGUCCUGCUUUUCGUUAGGACAUCCCUAACGGUCAGGCUUCACUGUGAUGGAGUAACUACAAGGGCAAUAUGGCAAAAGGGUUUUAUAACAUUAUUAUAUUUGUUAAAUAUAGCCUAUAUCUGACCGGGUUUGUACCAUGCCUAUAUCCCACAGUUGCCAGGGUUAUUGGUAGGUUAAGGGUCCAGAGAGUUUAAAUGAUGUUAAAUGGUGGCAGCAGUACAGGUUUAGGGAAUUCUUUGGGGUAGAAAUUGGGUUUUGUUAAUAAACUAAGUAAGGAAACUCCCUCCUUCCCUCGCCACAGUGACCCAAGUAAGUAGACUGUGAAAGCUACCACUGUCUCUCACAUGUAGGGAAGAAUAUUCUGAGUACAGAAUAUGUGCUUCUUUCAGUGUCUGGUUUCCUUUGAGGAGGUGGCUGUGUCUUUCACCAAAGGGGGGUGGGACAGAUGCUGAAGGGUUGGGAAGCCAUAUAUGUUAUUAUGGGGGUUGUUGUUGUUGUUAUUACUGCUACAUUUAUUGAUCACUUCCCAUCCCAAAAUGUUUUACAAUAAAAACGUAUAUAAGAAUUGCACACACAGCACAGUCUUUUGGAGGACUGAAUACCAGGG